AAACCGUUCAGGGGUAAACCUAAGAAACCCAAAAGAUCGAACGGGGAGAUUCAUCGUCAGCGGCGCGGGCUUCGCGUCGGCGGGCGAUGCCCCGCGGGGCGGGCCGGCGCAAGCUCGGCUCGCCGUCGCGCGGGCACGCUGCCGCGCUGCGAUGUCCCGCCGCCGUCGUCGUGCACUUCUCCCCCAGUAGGACGUCGCGACCCGCUGGGUGUCGGCCUACGGCCCGGGUGCGGUGCCUGCCGCGUCGCCGGUCAAACGGCACGCGGCAAACCCCCGAUCGCCCGGCCGGCUGCCCGGCGGUAGGCGAGAACCAGGUAUCAGGCCGCGCCGCGCGCGCGUCGAGCCCGUCGCAAGCGUCGGCCACGUCACCGGAGGUGCGGACCCAAGUCUUGGCCGUCCCCGGUGCUGGCCCGCUGCUGGCAUUGUCACGGUGCACCUUCGACCAGGCCUCGGCGUUCGCCGCGUACCCGGGGUAAGGGCGCGCGGUGGACCCUUACCGGUCGGCGACGCUACUGCUUUGGGUACUCUCAGGA
RNAcentral lists this ribosomal RNA (533 nucleotides) under Dorylus sp. SGB-2003. RNAcentral's name for it is "eukaryotic LSU rRNA". Lineage: Eukaryota; Metazoa; Arthropoda; Insecta; Hymenoptera; Formicidae. The record is from RNAcentral.